RNAcentral lists this ribosomal RNA (789 nucleotides) under uncultured bacterium. RNAcentral describes it as "bacterial SSU rRNA". It matches the Rfam family "Bacterial small subunit ribosomal RNA", at positions 8 to 796 of the family's 1533-position model. The record is from RNAcentral.
AGAGUUUGAUCAUGGCUCAGAUUGAACGCUGGCGGCAUGCCUUACACAUGCAAGUCGAACGGUAGAGGGCUUCGGCCUUCGAGAGUGGCGAACGGGUGAGUAAUGCAUCGGAACGUGCCGUGUAAUGGGGGAUAACGUAGCGAAAGUUACGCUAAUACCGCAUACGCCCUGAGGGGGAAAGCGGGGGAUCGUAAGACCUCGCGUUAUACGAGCGGCUGAUGUCGGAUUAGCUAGUUGGUGGGGUAAAGGCCCACCAAGGCGACGAUCCGUAGCGGGUCUGAGAGGAUGAUCCGCCACACUGGGACUGAGACACGGCCCAGACUCCUACGGGAGGCAGCAGUGGGGAAUUUUGGACAAUGGGGGCAACCCUGAUCCAGCCAUGCCGCGUGAGUGAAGAAGGCCUUCGGGUUGUAAAGCUCUUUCGGCCGGGAAGAAAUCGGUGGGUCUAAUAAAUCCACUGGAUGACGGUACCGGACUAAGAAGCACCGGCUAACUACGUGCCAGCAGCCGCGGUAAUACGUAGGGUGCGAGCGUUAAUCGGAAUUACUGGGCGUAAAGCGUGCGCAGGCGGUUUUGUAAGACAGCUGUGAAAUCCCCGGGCUCAACCUGGGAACUGCGGUUGUGACUGCAAGGCUAGAGUACGGCAGAGGGGGGUGGAAUUCCUGGUGUAGCAGUGAAAUGCGUAGAUAUCAGGAGGAACAUCGAUGGCGAAGGCAGCCCCCUGGGCCGAUACUGACGCUCAUGCACGAAAGCGUGGGGAGCAAACAGGAUUAGAUACCCUAGUAGUCC